Molecule: ribosomal RNA, 253 nt
Filed under: uncultured bacterium
Lineage: Bacteria
Description: partial 16S ribosomal RNA
Rfam family: Bacterial small subunit ribosomal RNA
Source: RNAcentral
UACGUAGGGGGCAAGCGUUGUCCGGAUUUAUUGGGCGUAAAGGGCGUGUAGGCGGCCAAGCAGGUCCGCUGUGAAAACUCGAGGCUCAACCUCGAGACGUCGGUGGAAACCGUUUGGCUAGAGUCCGGAAGAGGAGAGUGGAAUUCCCGGUGUAGCGGUGAAAUGCGCAGAUAUCGGGAAGAACACCCGUGGCGAAGGCGGCUCUCUGGGACGGUACUGACGCUGAGACGCGAAAGCGUGGGGAGCGAACAGG